RNAcentral lists this ribosomal RNA (1154 nucleotides) under Hamamelistes similibetulae. RNAcentral describes it as "partial 16S ribosomal RNA". The record is from RNAcentral. Lineage: Eukaryota; Metazoa; Arthropoda; Insecta; Hemiptera; Hormaphididae.
AUUUUUUUUAUUAAUAUUAAUUUUUUUAUUUGGAAUUUUUAUAAAAAUAUUUUAAUUAUUUAAAGUUUUAGUAUUUAUUAAAAAUUAAUUUUUAGUUUUAUAGUUUAAUAGUAUUGUAUAAGAAAUUAAUUAUAUUUAUAAAGAAUUUUAUUUAGUACCUUUUGUAUCAGGGUUAAUUAAAAUUUUUAAAUUUAUUUUAAUUUCUCACAAUUUAUGGGGUUAAUUUUAUUAUUAAGUUAUUGUAGUAAAAAUAUUUAUAAAAUAAUUUUAGUUUGAAAUUUAAUUCGUUAUAUUAUAUUUAGUUAUUUAAGAUUUAAAUUUAAUUUAAAAUUUUAAAAGUUAGUUUGAUUUUUUUUAUUAAUAUUUUAAAUUUAAAUUAUUUUAGGGAUAAGCUUGAAAUUUUAAUAUAAUAUUUAUAUUAAUUUAAUAAUUUAUAGGAAUAGAAAUUUUUAUUUUAAGUUUGUAACAAUUUGUUAUUUGAUUUAAUUAAAUUUAUUAUAAUUUGUUUAUUUUUAAUAUUAAAUUUUAUGAAUUAAUAUUUAAUUUAUAGUAAUAAUGAUUAAAUUAGUAUAUUUAAUAAAUAUAAAUUAUGAAUUAGGCAAUAUUUAUUUUCAUCUGUUUAACAAAAACAUUGUAUUAAGUUUAAUUUAAUAUAGGAUCUGCUCAAUGAUUAAAUUAAAUAGCUGCAGUAUUUUGACUGUGCAAAGGUAGCAUAAUAAUUAGUCUUUUAAUUGUGGACUAGAAUGAAAGAUUUGAUGAGAAAUAAACUUUAUUAUUUAUAUAAUUAGAAUUUUAUUUUUGAGUAAAAAGGCUUAAAUAUUUUAAAGGGACGAUAAGACCCUAUAAAACUUUAUAAUUAAUAAUUUUUGAAUUUUUUGGUUUAUUAUAUUUAUAUAUAAAUAAGUAUUUAAAUUUUUUUUAAUUAUUUUAUUGGGGUGAUAAAAAAAUUUAAUAAACUUUUUUUAAAUUUAACAUUAUUAAGUGGUAAGUUGAAUUAAAAUUUUUAAUUAAAGGAAAAAGUUACUUUAGGGAUAACAGCGUAAUUAAUUUUUUAAGUUCAAAUUUAAAAAUUAGGUUGCGACCUCGAUGUUGAAUUAAGAUUAAUCUUAGGUGCAAAAUUUUAAGUAUUAGGUCUGUUCGACCUUAAAUCUACA